GAAAUGCGAUAAGUAAUGUGAAUUGCAGAAUUCAGUGAAUCAUCGAAUCUUUGAACGCACCUUGCGCUCUUUGGCCAUUCCAAGGAGCAUGCCUGUUUGAGUGUCAUUGAAUCCUCAAGGCCCCCCUUCUGCCCCUCCCUUCGAGGAGAGAGGGCCUUUGGCGGGACUUGGACUUGGGAGCGCUGCGGCGCCGGGCUUAGCCCCCGGCUCCGCUCUCCUCAAAUGCAUCAGUAGGGCCCCUCAUCCCUUCGGGUCUUUGCGGCGUUGAUAGUCGUCUACGCCUCUUGCCCGUCGGGUUCUCACCUGCUCCUCAACCCCCUUUCUUUGAACGCUUUGACCUCAAAUCAGGUAGGACUACCCGCUGAACUUAA
RNAcentral lists this unclassified non-coding RNA (371 nucleotides) under uncultured fungus. RNAcentral describes it as "sequence contains ITS1". The stretch from base 1 to 106 matches the Rfam family "5.8S ribosomal RNA", at positions 50 to 154 of the family's 154-position model. The record is from RNAcentral. Lineage: Eukaryota; Fungi.